UGGGUGGGCUUAAGCCAAAGCCCGUCAACUUUAGGAGGCCCAAAAAAGAAAAAGAAAGAGAAAACAAGGAAGCAGAGUGAGGAGUGAGGACGAGACAAACCCUAAACCCGCCGGCGGCGUGCGGCGGCGGCGGUAAUGGAGGUGGAUAUGGAAGCGGAGGGUGCGAGCGGCGAGCUCGGCCACAAGAGGGCGGAUCUGGAGAAGCCCACGGAGGAGGAGAGAGCUUCUAACGGCGGCGGCGACGCCGCCAAGACGCCGUCGGAGGAUCACCACGACAGUGCCCGCCGCCGCGCCAUGGCGAUGGAGAAUGACGACGACGACGACGAGUACUACGACGAACCCCUUCCGAAUCCCUUGGACGCCUACCGCCAGAGCUGGGCCCGUUCCUACGGCACCAAUGGCGCCACCUUCGAGGACGAGACGGAUCUCCCUCCUAUGCCAAACACAGACAUUCCAGUGCUGCCCCCUUCUGCGCAGCCUAUGGAAACAAUGCAGGUCUUCACGGUGAAGGUGACCCAGAUCACCGGCGGCCUCCGGUGGCCGCUCGGCGUCUACGGCGUGGUCGCCGUGCGAGACUCCAUGGACCACAAGCGCAACGUCCUCUUCCGCCGCGGCAGGAACGAAUGCCAGACCCUAACUUCGCUGCAGGCUUGUAGGUUUUCUGCCAUUAUUGAGCUUUUCCAUGGCCACUGCAAACAAUCCAGGUCCCCUUGACUUGGUUCCAGGUUUUUCACCUGAAGACAUGGACAACCCCAUUCAUAAUGCUGCCUUAUCCUACGUGUCAUAUGAUAGAUAUGUGUUAGAUACCUCUGAAGUGUAUUUUGAUGAUUGCAUCCCAUUGGAGUCUUAUCUGAAUAUUAGACCAAUGGUGACUUCUGAUUCGUAUCAGUUUCGUUCAUUUGGGGAAACUAAUCCAAGUGUGACUUAUCUGGUUGCAACAGAGUCAUGUAAGAAAGUAAUCAGAACUAUGCUGAAAGGACUAAGGACAAAUGAGUUGAGAAAUUUGUGUUUUUUGGAUUUAAACAUUUCAAACAUCUUUGUGAGUCCCACGGGAAAAGUUAAGUUCAAGAACAUUUCACGUGUAUAGUUAGAGAUGGACCUUCUAAGAAACAACUAUUUGUGUGCUCAUCAGAUUAUCAGGAAUCUCUUUCUAUCUGAAGACGGAAGUGUGCCUGAAGAUAUACAGCACCUGCUAAACUUGAUCCUUCAUGAGUUUGACAAGAGAGAGAUAUUUCAUUUUCAUGGGUCAUUGGUAUCCCUAGCUAAUGUGUCACUGUUUUUCAAGUCAAUGUAUGACCAUAUCAGAUUUGUGAUGCCACCAGAUGAUCUUAGGGCUAUCCUAACAAACCUUCCAUAUGCCGAUGUUUGGGAGAGUAAAGUCAAGACCAACCGUAUCCUCAAAAAGCCUUAUGAUUUCAACCCUGACGGCCGUAUUGUACCAGCUGACAAACCAUCUCAGACAUGCCUCAACAAACGUCAGAGGGAAUUCUUACAUGCACUGGGUCUAACUCCUAUUCGAGGACAGAAAUCGCUUACCCCUGAUCAGAUCGCCUUAAUUGAAACUCUGUUCUUCUUUGAUUUUCUGAGAAAUAGGACAUCUCACAGGAUGGAUCCAUGGAGGAGCCUGAUUUUGGGCUAUAAUGCUGUGGACUCAGAGUAUGCAUGUCAUGUCCGGUUCCCAUUGGUUGUCCCGUAUCUGCAGUUGGAGCUGUAUAACAGGGGUCAACUGCAGGCACUUCAGUUGGGACAUUUAUUCUAACUUCUAAGCUAUCCAAGUUCCUCAAUUUAUGAGCGGAAGUCCUUAUCAAGCCAUUGCUGGACAUGAUGCAACUUCAAUGCAAGAAGAUUGGCUGGCUAGGGCCUAACUUUUGGUUAAUUUUGCUUCUGUUCUAGUUUCCUUCCUGAACCCCUAGAGGUUGAUGAUGUCCCAGGGUGUAUGUAUCCCCUGUGUUUUUUGUCGCUGUAAAACUACACAUGCUUGAAUUUCUGUCAGCAGAAAAAAGCUACAUCUGACUGCAGUUGACAGUUUUAUUUCAUGUUUAUGGGACGCAACUCCAUUAUUGCUGUUAUUUUUUUUUUCUCUUUACAUGGUAGUUAUAACACAUUUAAGCUAUAUAUGCCUGUAUCUUUUGUUAACUGUUCUGAAUGCCUAUGAAGCUAUAUGCCUGUAUCACAA
Molecule: RNA transcript, 2176 nt
Organism: Oryza sativa Japonica Group (Japanese rice)
Lineage: Eukaryota; Viridiplantae; Streptophyta; Magnoliopsida; Poales; Poaceae
Source: RefSeq, a predicted model, not a curated record